AACUAACGCUGGCGGCGUGCCUAACACAUGCAAGUCGUACGAGAAAGUUGGCUUCGGCCGAUGAGUAAAGUGGCGCACGGGUGAGUAAUGCGUGGAUAAUCUGCCCUUUAGUUGGGAAUAACGUACCGAAAGGUGCGCUAAUACCUGAUAAUACUGCAUAACUACUGUUGUGUAGUCAAAGAAGGCCUCUGUUUACAAGCUUUUGCUGAAGGAUGAGUCCGCGUACCAUUAGCUGGUUGGUGGGGUAAUGGCCUACCAAGGCUACGAUGGUUAGCUGGUCUGAGAGGAUGAUCAGCCACACUGGAACUGAGACACGGUCCAGACUCCUACGGGAGGCAGCAGUGAGGAAUCUUGCGCAAUGGGGGAAACCCUGACGCAGCAACGCCGCGUGAGUGAGGAAGGCCUUCGGGUCGUAAAGCUCUGUCAGAUGGAAGAAAUAGGUGGGGCGUAAUAUCGCCCAUCCUUGACGGUACCGAUCAGAGGAAGCACC
Molecule: ribosomal RNA, 490 nt
Filed under: uncultured bacterium
Lineage: Bacteria
Description: bacterial SSU rRNA
Rfam family: Bacterial small subunit ribosomal RNA
Source: RNAcentral